UUCACUCUGACCUACCCAUGAAGAACUGGAGAAGGGGGACAAUGAGACAUAACUCUAACAUUGGAGUCUCGCAUAGAGGAAUACAAAUAGUCCGGAAUCCGGAUUUUACAAUGCAUGCUCAAUGGAGGACAAUAAUGGCUAAAAAAAGAAGUGUAUACAACUUUAGUGGCACAAGCCUCUGUUUUUUCUUUCUAAAGGAUGCUCCCUCCAUUCCAAAUU
RNAcentral lists this long non-coding RNA (219 nucleotides) under Setaria viridis. Its description in RNAcentral is "long non-coding RNA (SVIR_LNC002452)". Lineage: Eukaryota; Viridiplantae; Streptophyta; Magnoliopsida; Poales; Poaceae. The record is from RNAcentral.